This 497-nucleotide ribosomal RNA is filed under the name uncultured bacterium. RNAcentral describes it as "partial 16S ribosomal RNA". It matches the Rfam family "Bacterial small subunit ribosomal RNA", at positions 28 to 507 of the family's 1533-position model. The record is from RNAcentral.
GAUGAACGCUGGCGGCGUGCCUAAUACAUGCAAGUCGAGCGAACGGACGAGAAGCUUGCUUCUCUGAUGUUAGCGGCGGACGGGUGAGUAACACGUGGAUAACCUACCUAUAAGACUGGGAUAACUUCGGGAAACCGUAGCUAAUACCGGAUAAUAUUUUGAACCGCAUGGUUCAAAAGUGAAAGACGGUCUUGCUGUCACUUAUAGAUGGAUCCGCGCUGCAUUAGCUAGUUGGUAAGGUAACGGCUUACCAAGGCAACGAUGCAUAGCCGACCUGAGAGGGUGAUCGGCCACACUGGAACUGAGACACGGUCCAGACUCCUACGGGAGGCAGCAGUAGGGAAUCUUCCGCAAUGGUCGAAAGCCUGACGGAGCAACGCCGCGUGAGUGAUGACGGUCUUCGGAUCGUAAAACUCUGUUAUUAGGGAAGAACAUAUGUGUAAGUAACUGUGCACAUCUUGACGGUACCUAAUCAGAAAGCCACGGCUAACUACGUG